UAGGGAAUAUUGCGCAAUGGGGGCAACCCUGACGCAGCAAUGCCGCGUGAGUGAAGAAGGCCUUCGGGUCGUAAAGCUCUUUUAUGGGGGAAGAUGAUGACGGUACCCCAUGAAUAAGCACCGGCUAACUACGUGCCAGCAGCCGCGGUAAUACGUAGGGUGCGAGCGUUGUUCGGAAUUACUGGGCGUAAAGGGCGUGCAGGCGGAUUGGCAAGCCGGAGGUGAAAGCCCGGGGCUCAACCCCGGAGGGUCUUUCGGAACUGCCAGUCUUGAGAGGGUCAGGGGCCAGCGGAAUUCCUGGUGUAGAGGUGAAAUUCGUAGAGAUCAGGAGGAACACCGGCGGCGAAAGCGGCUGGCUGGGGCCACUCUGACGCUGAGGCGCGAAAGCGUGGGGAGCAAACAGG
RNAcentral lists this ribosomal RNA (404 nucleotides) under uncultured bacterium. RNAcentral's name for it is "bacterial SSU rRNA". It matches the Rfam family "Bacterial small subunit ribosomal RNA", at positions 355 to 776 of the family's 1533-position model. The record is from RNAcentral.